GCCCGGGUGGCGGAAUGGCAGACGCAGCGGACUCAAAAUCCGCCGGGGGCGACCCCGUGAGAGUUCGACUCUCUCCUCGGGCA
RNAcentral lists this transfer RNA (83 nucleotides) under Gemmatimonadota bacterium. RNAcentral's name for it is "Gemmatimonadetes bacterium tRNA-Leu". It matches the Rfam family "tRNA". Rfam says of the family: Transfer RNA (tRNA) molecules are approximately 80 nucleotides in length. Their secondary structure includes four short double-helical elements and three loops (D, anti-codon, and T loops). The record is from RNAcentral. Lineage: Bacteria; Pseudomonadati; Gemmatimonadota. RNAcentral also lists the same sequence under 1 other name.